Molecule: transfer RNA, 71 nt
Filed under: Cordylochernes scorpioides
Lineage: Eukaryota; Metazoa; Arthropoda; Arachnida; Pseudoscorpiones; Chernetidae
Description: tRNA-Gly
Rfam family: tRNA
About the family: Transfer RNA (tRNA) molecules are approximately 80 nucleotides in length. Their secondary structure includes four short double-helical elements and three loops (D, anti-codon, and T loops). Further hydrogen bonds mediate the characteristic L-shaped molecular structure. tRNAs have two regions of fundamental functional importance: the anti-codon, which is responsible for specific mRNA codon recognition, and the 3' end, to which the tRNAs corresponding amino acid is attached (by aminoacyl-tRNA synthetases). tRNAs cope with the degeneracy of the genetic code in two manners: having more than one tRNA (with a specific anti-codon) for a particular amino acid; and 'wobble' base-pairing, i.e. permitting non-standard base-pairing at the 3rd anti-codon position.
Source: RNAcentral
GCAUCGGUAGUUCAUUGGUAAACUACUCGCCUGCCAUGCGGGCGGCCCGGGUUCGAUUCCCGGCCGAUGCA